Molecule: long non-coding RNA, 638 nt
Organism: Oryzias latipes (Japanese medaka)
Lineage: Eukaryota; Metazoa; Chordata; Actinopteri; Beloniformes; Adrianichthyidae
Source: RefSeq, a predicted model, not a curated record
GAGAGCAGCUCCGGUGGAAGGUCUGGGCAGAUGACAACUUCAGAACACCGCACAAUGAGGAGAUGAAGGCAGCAGUGAAAGAUGUGGAACCAAAUUGGAGUUUCCACCAAGUUAGAAGAGCUGGUUAUCGAGCUAUUGACAGUCUCAAGUGCAAAGAGAGAGAAUGGAGAUGGAAGCAAGAAGGGGGUCAAAAGGAGGACCAGUCAGCAUGAUCAGGUGAGUUGUCCUAUUUGUGACCUUGUUUCAUUUACUCAGGUCAUGCAUGGUCCAAUUGAACUGUGUAUGUAUGUGUGCGUAUGUUGUUUCCUCUAAUUGAUCUGCCAUAUAUAAAAGGAGCCAACGCAAACUAUGUCAGCGACGAGGAAAGUGACGAUGACAAACCAUCUUAUUAUCAAGCCUCGCCAAAGUGGCGGUCCACUAGGCUAACCAGGGUGAUGCUGAAAUGCCAAAAAGCCUGGAAUGAAAACUGGAGGAGUGGAAUUGAGCCAAAAUUACGCAUUAGACACUCAGCUGGCUUUACUGAAAGAAACCCACCACCAGUCAAGAGCUGCUAUCUGGCAGAAGAGAAAAAAAGGAUGCAUGUUUGUCUGUGGUUUUUGACUUAUUUAUUUAUUUUGUAAUAAAAUAUUUUUGAGUAA